AGAGUUUGAUCCUGGCUCAGGACGAACGCUGGCGGCGUGCUUAACACAUGCAAGUCAAGGGGGCCCAGCAAUGGGCAACCGGCGAACGGGUGCGUAACACGUGAGCAACCUACCGAACUGUGGGGGAUAGCCGGCCUAACGGCCGAGUAAUACCGCAUACGCUCUCAGAGAGGCAUUUCUUUGAGAGGAAACCUACGGGACAGAUCGAGGGGCUCGCGGCCUAUCAGCUAGUUGGCGAGGUAACGGCUCACCAAGGCAACGACGGGUAGCUGGUCUGAGAGGAUGGCCAGCCACAUUGGGACUGAGAUACGGCCCAGACUCCUACGGGAGGCAGCAGUGGGGAAUCUUGCGCAAUGGCCUAACGGCUGACGCAGCGACGCCGCGUGUGGGAUGAAGCUCUUCGGAGUGUAAACCACUGUUGCCCGGGACGAACAGCUCGAUUAAUCGAGCCUGACGGUACCGGGUGAGGAAGCACCGGCUAACUCCGUGCCAGCAGCCGCGGUAAUACGGGGGGUGCGAGCGUUGUCCGGAAUCACUGGGCGUAAAGGGCGCGUAGGUGGUUUGAUAAGGGUGUGGUGAAAGUCCGGGGCUCAACCCCGGAUCUGCCGUGCCGACUGUCAAACUCGAGGACUGUAGAGGCAGACGGAAUUCCGGGUGUAGCGGUGGAAUGCGUAGAGAUCCGGAGGAAGACCGGUGGCGAAGGCGGUCUGCUGGGCAGUUUCUGACACUGAGGCGCGACAGCGUGGGGAGCAAACAGGAUUAGAUACCCUGGUAGUCCACGCCGUAAACGAUGGGUACUAGGUGCCUGGGGGAGCGACCCUCUGGGUGCCGGCGCUAACGCAGGAAGUACCCCGCCUGGGGAGUACGACCGCAAGGUUGAAACUCAAAGGAAUUGACGG
This 899-nucleotide ribosomal RNA is filed under the name uncultured bacterium. RNAcentral describes it as "bacterial SSU rRNA". It matches the Rfam family "Bacterial small subunit ribosomal RNA", at positions 8 to 916 of the family's 1533-position model. The record is from RNAcentral.